GGCAACCUCCAGAACUCAAGGGGAGACCCGGAACGAACAGCGCCGAACACGGCGGAAAAGGCAAGAAAAGCCGGGUAGCCUGUGGAAAAGAUCGUUCAUUCGAAAGUCUUCAAAAACGGUGAAUUUUAAGGAAAAGAACAAAGAGACCAUCCGCUUCCAGGAGAAAAAUCCAGGAAACAGUCAGUUCUGAAUGUCAACACAUCACCUCUGUGUUGUCUACUUUCAUGAAAGUUUUGGUAAGGAAUAUUUUAAAUGCAUUCAGCUCCUCUAGUGAAGAAGCAUAUACAGUGUUACUCUCAGAACUCUGAGAAUUAAGUGAAAAAAAAGAUACCGUAUAAGAAGAAGGGUCCACCCAGGGAUGGCUAGCUGCUUCACACAGAGAGCUGUAAUUAAAGGACAAGACAGAUUUCAACAGGACAAACUAUCAGGGCGAAGAUCAAGACGUGGUCCAGAUUUCCCAGCGCCUGAGUUACUUCUUCUAACAAGCACAAAGAGUCCUCAUAAUGGAGCCUAUGCCCCUGCUGAAGAUGAAAACUACCCACCUUGCUCUGAUGUGAGACCAUCUGAAGAAGAAAAAAUGCCAAUAUUUUCUAAACAACGUUUUGUAGAAAUUUUCAAAGCUACAAGAAGCUCACAAAAAUAAUACUUCACUAACAA
Peromyscus eremicus (cactus mouse) is the source of this 657-nucleotide long non-coding RNA. RefSeq lists it as uncharacterized. The transcript has 5 exons. The record is from RefSeq and is a predicted model, not a curated record. NCBI's taxonomy places the organism in Eukaryota, Metazoa, Chordata, Mammalia, Rodentia, Cricetidae.